RNAcentral lists this ribosomal RNA (380 nucleotides) under uncultured eukaryote. RNAcentral's name for it is "partial 18S ribosomal RNA". It matches the Rfam family "Eukaryotic small subunit ribosomal RNA", at positions 592 to 976 of the family's 1831-position model. The record is from RNAcentral.
CAAUAGCGUAUAUUAAAGUUGUUGCAGUUAAAAAGCUCGUAGUUGGAUUUGUGGCGUACGGUGUGUUCCGGGCACUUGUUGUCUGAGUAACCUGCCGUUGCCAUCCUUGGGUGGAACCUGUGCGGCAUUAGGUUGUCGUGCAGGGGAUGCCCAUCAUUUACUGUGAAAAAAUUAGAGUGUUCAAAGCAGGCUUAUGCCGUUGAAUAUAUUAGCAUGGAAUAAUGAGAUAGGACUUUUUUGCUAUUUUGUUGGUUUGCGCAAAGAGGUAAUGAUUAAUAGGGACAGUUGGGGGUAUUCGUAUUCCAUUGUCAGAGGUGAAAUUCUUGGAUUUUUGGAAGACGAACUACUGCGAAAGCAUUUACCAAGGAUGUUUUCAUUAA